Molecule: long non-coding RNA, 1093 nt
Filed under: Anas zonorhyncha (Eastern spot-billed duck)
Lineage: Eukaryota; Metazoa; Chordata; Aves; Anseriformes; Anatidae
Description: lncRNA (ENSAZOG00000014571.1)
Source: RNAcentral
UACUGGGAGCUGCACAGGGGGCUGUACUGGAAACUGGGGGAGUAUAAUGGGAGCUGUACUGGGGGUGCACUGCAUGGGGGCUGCAACAGGAGGGCUAUAUUGGGGGGGGGGAGGUCUACAUGGGGGGGCGUACUGGGAGCUGCACGGCACGGGGAGCUUAAUGUGGAGGGGUGCUGCACCGGAGUGCAGUGGGAGGCACUGGGCAGCACUGGGAGGCACUGGGCGGCACUGGGCAGCACUGGUUGCCGCAGGGCAGCCCCCCCCCCAGCAGCCGCCCCCGCCGCAGCGUGUCUGGUCGGUGACUCACGGCCGGGCCGGGGGCCACACGUGUGCCGAGCGCGGGGCUCAGCACGGCCACGUGGCCCAACCCGGUCACCGUGGGGCCCGGGGAGCCUGCGGGAUCCUGCCGGGGCCUGGCGCGAUGCUGGGCCGGUAGGAACGGGGCACACGGUGCCGUGAGGCCUGUCCGAAGUGGCUCUGGGUGACGGGGACAGCCCGGUGCCACACGCUCGGUGGCCUUGACGUGGCCGUGCCGUGCCCGUGUGGUGCCGGUGCUGGGUCCCGUGCCGGUGCCGCGCUGGUUCCUGCACAGAGCUGGUGCCGAGGCAGUGCCAGGGCCAACCGGUGCUGGUGCUGCACGGUGCCAACACUGGUGCCAAGGCAGCACGGCUCCUGCGUGGUGCUAGUGCCAUGCCGUGCCAACGGUGUGAGUGCCAGCUGUGGGGCCAGGAGAUGCCAAUACGGUGCCGGUGCCGUGCGGAGCCAACGCGGUGCCGUGCCCACGCAGUGCCAGUGCCGGUGCCACACAGUGCCAGUGCCGUGCCAAUGCGGUGCCAACUCAGUGCUGGUGCUGUGUGGUGCCGGUGUGGUGCCGUGCCGUGCCGUCCCAGCGCGGUGCCGGUGUUGUUCCUGUGCCAAGGUGAUGCCAACACGGUGCCGGUGCCGUGCCAAUGCGGUGCCAGCUCAGUGCCAACGAGGUGCCGGUGCCAUCCCCGUGCCAUCCCCGUGCCAACGCGGUGCCAACGCGGUGCCGGUGCCGUUCCCGUCCCCCCCCUCAACCCUCCCCAAAUCCCCUCCCGGUGCCGCCCCCGGC